AAAAAAUGUAAUUUACUAUAUAAACAAGUGCGCUUGCUACAUUAUUCUUUAAUCAAAAAGUUAAGGGGUCAGCCACGGUGGUUAUGUGAAUUAGUACGUAUGCUACUGCCAGAGUCUUUUUAGACUUUGCGACCUCGAGAUCAAAACUCGUUGAUAAAGAACCUUACUCUUAUGUCCUAUUAAUUUAGGCGAUUGGCGUAAGGGCCGACGAUACGAGAAAUUUAUUAUAUUAGCGUUUUAUUAUAUGAUUGAAAUUAAAGUUACAUUAGUUCCAGUUAAUAUUCAGUAAUUCACCUUCGUUUUGCACACCUUUAGUUGAUGUCGGUGUAUACUGAAAAUAGUAAAGUGCCAGUGUGGAGUAAAC
Molecule: non-coding RNA, 364 nt
Organism: Schizosaccharomyces pombe (fission yeast)
Lineage: Eukaryota; Fungi; Ascomycota; Schizosaccharomycetes; Schizosaccharomycetales; Schizosaccharomycetaceae
Source: the annotation of a GenBank genome assembly